UGGAGUUGCAUACUUGGGGCCAGAAAAGAAGACAAUCGAACCGUGCACACUGUGACAAACAACACACACACAUCCAAGUGGAAUAUUAGCUACUGUGAAUACGUAUAUCUCUAUAAAAAAAUCUUUUUGUAUAACUCAUCAUUAUACAGUGUUUUUAAGUCUGCUAUUGCCAACAAAUAUUUGAAUCUGAUUGGUCAAAAUCCAAUACCUACAGAAGCAAUGCCAGAGACAACCUUUCAAAUCAACACAUCUGCCUGUUGAAACUGAGGCAAAAUGUUAGUUUCUGUCUCAGGCUGAUCUCGAGUCAGGAAAUAAUGAUGUGAGAACAGCAUGAGGAUCUUCUGGACUUUAAUCAUAAUUUAAUCUGACAGGAAAAAGUGGAAGCAAGAUCUUGUCCUGCAAUCUAGACAAAGCUGAGUUCAGCACCUCUAUCUUGCUAAUCAAUACAAAGUCACUUUAAACCAUAAGCUGUAGUUGUAAUAACAGAAGUUUUAAAUUGCGACAAUAACCUAUAUUUAAAGGGUGUGAACUGCAAAGCCCUGAGAAGAAGGAAAGCUGGGUGAUGACAAGAUGAACGAACAAGUUGCAACAAGUUUUUGUGUUGGGUGAGUGACUGUGUGAAAUACUAGAGUUGGACAGAUUUGUUGUUAUGCACAGAGCUGGCCCAAGGCAUAAGCGAACUAAGCGCCUGCGAAUAUAUAUAUAUAUGUAUAUAUAUAUAUAGUGCAAGUUUGACUGAUACUUUCUGUAUGAUCAAAUAUAUUAUAGUGCAGCUGCUGAUGACCUCAAGUGAUGGCGAAUGGGUACUCCUUUUGCUUUCUCAAAAGAAAAAGAAACGUAGCACAUGGGUGUAUCCAAUAUUACAAAAAAGAAAAGAACUCGGUGAAAGUUGGACAAUUUGAAGUUCUGCUGAAACGAUCAGCUCCAAGUUUGAAGAGGCAGAGGACUAGACACUAGACACAAGUGUUGAGAUGGUUUUCUGUCAUGAUAGCAUGUACUGAGUCUGGGCCAGUACCUGAUAAGCACAUGAAACUAUGGUAACAACCGUUAGCUUACGCUAGAUGAAAGUUAAAACAAAGACUUUUAGCAAACUGUUAAAGCACAUAAACCAUCGUCAGAUGAGAGGUCUGACGCUAUGACUCUCCACAAGUUGUCCCUCAGGUCGUUAUCUUUGUAAUGUUUGCGUCUUUUAUCAAAAGCACUGUGUUCUCCAACACACUAAACAAUCGGAUGAUCGGCCAUAUUGGAUAUACCGGUGAAUCAGACGUCGCAACAUCACGCAGUCUGAUUAGUCAGAAGUAGACACACAUUAUGCGAAACUUUAGAAAAAUUGGACAUGAUCCGAAAAAAUAAAUGCCGCAAUAUCACAGGACGGGAAAAUGUCUCUGAUGUGAACACUUGUAUUGACAGGAAACAGGUUUGAGUAAACAAAAUUGACAUCCGAAAUAAUCGCUCAACAAAAACGGUCCCGGUGUGAAAGGACCUUUAGAAUCUGACAGGGUGAGCAGAACUCCGACAAAAACGGUGCCAUUCUUCCUGAUAAUUUUCUAGACAUCUCACUAAAGGGUGUGAAUUAGUCCGACUGAAUGACAGCUCUGCUAUGCUGGUAAGACUCUUAUUUUAAAUUUAAAUCUUGACAUCACUUCUUAAGUAGAUAAAUUAAAUCAAAUUUACUGUAAAUUCAGAGUAACGUACAGACAUGUUUCUCAAAGUUGAAAAAUAUCAUCCUGCAGUCUUCACUUUUUAAAGUUGGUAAAGCCUGAAGGAAAAUCAGCGAACGUGUUGAUUGACUGAAAUGAUAUUCGAAGCUUCAAAUGAAUAGAUCUGUGUGUUGCAAUAUUCAAUAUUAGAUCACGAGAUUUUUUUUUCCUCUCCAGCAAUAACAGCUUCUACAACAAUUAGUCAUGCAGCCGCUUCCUCAGCAUUCAACACCUAAUGGAGACUGCUCCAUAUGUGAGACAUUUCGUUAACUGAUACCAGCAGGUGAAACGCCAUUCUGGUCUUCCGGAGCUGUAAAGGGAAUAUAGCUUCUAGGCUUUUUAAAGGUAUCAUAUUGCCAUUUGAAUCAUGCAGGAGAGAGAUCGGUGAGUAUUACAAGCUGUUUGCAACAGAUUUAAAGAAUUAUAUAUUUAUUUCCUUCCAAUCCAUUAUUAAUUUCGACAUCCGUCAGAUGUCUGGGAGAGUCAACAGCGAGAACAGAGGGCUCUAAGAGACAUUCAUUUUCAGGCAGAACAUGUCCAGAAAUUUUAAUUCACUCUCAGUGCCCUUUAUGGUGAUAACAGCAGAAUUUAGUCUCCAUUCAAAGCAAGAAAAUACUAAUUAUUUCUUAAUUGUGUACUUGAACGCUGUCCCCAAGGAAGGGCACUGACAUUCAAAGUGUGGGGAAAAGAAAAACUAAUAAACAGCCUGACUUUGCUGCUGUGCCAAGCCUAGUUUACAUCCCUCACUCUGACAACACAUGUGUUACAGUAAAGGCUACAGGGGGCCCAAUCAACCCCUUGACUGAUCGCUUAAUUGCCCAGAAUCCCUCAACUGAACCCCGUUGACUGACCCAUGUCGCCCAAGGGAUUGUGGGACUUGUGUCAACAUUUCCCCAUGCCAUCACAUUCAAUCCCUCUUUCUGGUACUCUUCUACAGAGCGUGAAGCAUGAGAUUGGAUUUACAGCGUAAUGGAAUAAAGCACAUUGUUUCUCAUCAGCGAGAGAGGAGGAUAGAGCCGAUAAAGCCUUCCAGCCUGGGAAGUUGAUCAGAAGCUGCGCAUACAAGAUGGAAGAAUUGUGUUUUUCUUGGCCUCUUGUUAACUUUUACUUCCUCCAAAAAACAGAGCAACUUUUGAGUUCCUGGAUGCUGUUGGUAUUGAUUUGCUCUGCUGUCUUACACUGCGUUUUGGAGGUAGAGUAGGAGUGAAUAAAAGAGGUCAUCAUCAGGAGAUCAAAGGCAGGGAUGUGACAGGUGCGGUGUUUCCUCCAUGAAGCUUUUUGUGCAAUUUGUAUCGAAAUAGACGUGAUGAAACUCAGACUCCGCGGUUCAAGUCAUUGUUGUGGCAGCUGUGAUGAAGAUUACUUGUCCUUCUUGGCAUUUACGCCAUCCAAAUGCGAAACUUAUUCAGGAGGAAUAAAAUUAUCUGCUUUCCUUUCAGAUCUACAGUAUGUCCAUUUUUCUCUUUGACUUCUACCCUUUAUUUCACUUCACUGACUUACAAUGACUGAAUAGAGGGCCAUUAUCAGUUAAUUAACUCUUAUCUGCUCUACUGUUACAAUAACACUUUCCUGUGACACACUGAAACAUAAUCUGCUUAAGUCACAAUGUCUCUGAAACCAUCCCUUACCCCAACUUUAUUUUCGUUCCAUAUGCAGGAGGUAAAAGCAGAGAGGAGAACUAUUUGUUCGGAUUGAAUCAAUGAGAGUGGAAGGUCAGGCCGGAUGUAAUUAGUCAGAAUCCUAAUGACUUCUUUUGGAAAUUGUCGCCGCCAGUCUGUCGCUCGAUUUAUGCUCUUGACUUUUCAGUUGCUCUUUAUCAGUGUGAUACUGCACAACUUAAUCACUAUCUUGUUAUAGUGUACAGCAUUGAGUUGGAGGCUGUAGAUGCCACAGUGUGGGAAUUACGUCAUUAUUACAAUUGGAAUUAGCAUUUGAAUACAUUUUAAUUGCAUUGUGAUGGGCCGGGCUUCUGUUCAUACCACUGUAAUGAGACAAAGAGGGGGCAGAGACUUUCACCUGGUUCUCUGUGGCAAAGCAUAAAAUAUAACCUUUGUGAAAAUGAGAAACAGGGGAAGAGGUUACAUAUCUAAACAGAGGACACUGACUUCACUCACUCCAAGAACUGAGAGUUUCCAGCAGCUUUAAAACAGCUAUUAACUUGUUUCAUGAGUGUGAAAUCACUCACUGUUCAGCCUCACAAGACCACAGACUUGAGUAGAUAGAAUAGAGAGAGCAAAGAAAGGACAAACUUUACUUUCCAUUGACAACCCACAGGAAGUAUAUCAAUGGACAGGCUCAUUGGCAGUACCUUUUUCUUUAAUAUCUCUUUUUUUGGGGGGCUUUACAGAUGAGGAUCUGUCAGAUGAGGCUGGUUAUACAGAUACUUCUGGUGUAGAUUGAUACCUAAAAACUUACCAGCCUCUUACACAUUGCAGUUCUGCAUCAGUGCUGGAAUAGCUCAGUUUGGGGAUUGAUUUUCUCUUCUGUGUUUUAUGGCUCAAAGUGAAACUGGCCAAAGUUCUGUGCAUACUCGAGUUUGCACACCUUAAAAGUGUGUUGUUGGACCACCAUGAGUGAAUUUUCGAGUCUUUUUCCUAAACCUUUACUGUAGAAGGUCAAUAAUUUAACAUGCAGUAGUAAUAAUUCCAGGUAUUCAAAUGCUGUAGCGUCGCACAUGCACAGUUAGAUGUCAGCUGUUAUCAACAGUCUUCGCAAGGAUGGUGUUUCUGAUCACGUCAGCAUGAAAUUUGCUAUUUUUAUAAACUUUUAUCAUUAGGAAACCCAGUUUGAUAUGAAAAAUUGCAAAGUUUAGAAUCUGUCUAGAUAUUUGAGACUCAUAGCUUCGUCCGUGUGCAGUCGGAGUUUGAUAUUUUACAAGGAAAGUUUUUCAUAACGUUUGUGACAAAGGGCAAGUUUAGUUGGUGAGAUUGCUUAAUGUCUUUUAAUAUCUGAGAUCUAAGAAAGAGAUGUGCAUGCAAUUUUUAAUUUCCAAAUCUUGCUGAAGGUGGUAUAAAGAAGGUAAGUCUAGAUAUUGACUUUUUUUAAAAAGGCAGCAGAAUGAGACUAAAUUGCAUUGUCUAAACUUUCUAAUUAAGUUUCAACUCUUUAGUCCUCCAGUGAUACAAAACAAGAUUCAUAACAUAAGCACCCCAAAUUCAGCAAGCAGUGCAAAAUUAUCUGGGGCACCUCUGCAUUCAAGCCCGUAAUGUCUGAUACAAUAUUCUAAAUGGAUGAAAAAGGUCGACCAAACAAAGACAGGUGCUGACGAGUCAUGUUUUUUUUUUUCUAUCUCAUAUCUUAUUAGACAGAAUCUCACAUCAGCAGAGUCGGCCAACAUGCCACAUCAAAGGCUGCGUAGGAGUGGACGCGUCGAUCCUAAUUAGUAUGACAGAGUGCUGAUCUGUGUGUGAUCUAAGAACACAGGAAACACACACACAUGUUCAUGAAUAAACCAGCACACCCCAAAACACACACACACACACACACGCACCUUGAGCCCAUCUCAAAUUCCCCACUGUCUUCACAGACAAGUUCCAAGUUUCUUCCUGGCAACAGAAGCAUGAAAAUCUUGGCACGUUAAAACUCAUUAAAAUACAUAGAAGCUGAUGUGUAAAUACACAAACACACAAAGCCCAGCUGUAGUUCUGUGACAUCCCUUCACGCACACAAUCAGCGGAUAUUCUUGGUGAUGGCAGUCUGAGCAAUCUUGGCACAUGAAGCUAAAUUCUGCAUAGUCAAUGAACGGCUCUGACUGCCUGUCAUUUUCAGUGGACUCACACUUCAAGCCUGUUAGUUGUUUUCUCUGAAGGGGCUCCAGUUGCUCAGCAAGAAUAGUUUGGCUCAAACGUCAGGAUUCAAUUAAAAUGUAAAUUCUCACUAAGCUGAUAAACGGGGAACAACAGUGCUCUCAGUUCCUGGGGCGCCAGGCAGGAGGCGUCUUUUAGCAAAAAAAAGUCUUGGAAGUUGUUGUGUUGGACAGCAGGUGAGCAAUGAGGCCCCGCAGGAAAAGGGAAGAAUUAACAUAAGGUUGGAGAUCGGCAGGAUUCAGGCCAUUCAGAAGGAUUGAAAGCCUGGACAAGUAUCCGCAGCUACCUUCACUUCUUCUCUCUUCCUGCGACUCACAUAUCUUCUAUGCAUUGCACAUCUUUGUCUGGCAUACUGACAGCCCCAACAAAAACUCAAUCUGGUCUGCACCUGCAUUUUUGAAGUUUCUCUUCGAACCGUACAAGCAGAGAGGAGUUGUUCGCAGGGAGAAGACACACUUCUACAACUCGUGACAGCUUCAGGAAAAAGUUGCGUCAAAUCCAAUUCCCUGAGGGUCGAAUGCAACACCUUGGAACGCUGAAUCCAGAUAAGAAUGACUUUAUUUUGGCAAGUGGUAAAUAUUUAAAGAGGUUUUCUGCAUCAAUUCUCCGGUGAUUUUUAAAAGAGAAGUUGGUUAUGUAACUAAUACUGGGGGAGGUUUCAGGUUGUCCCAAAGGGAUAACUCAGUACAUUUACAUAACACUCGAGAAAACCGAAAUUAUUGUCUUACUCUGAUUAAGACCGGACAACUAAAGUGCAUGUUAACACCUUAGUCUGGCUAUAAUUGGAGUCAGAGAACUCAAAUUAGGACGCCCAGAUAAUGCGAUUGGAAUUAGAGUUUCUCUACCAUGUAACUAGUGUAGUUGGGAAGAAGUGGCAAGAGGAGUAGCAUGCACCUCAUCUGCAGAAAAAGUAGCGCAUACAUCGUGUACGACAAAAACAACACUGUGUGAUGCUCCGUCUUCUUGCUUAAAAAUGCCCAGCAGCAGUCGUAGCCCCGUCUGAUGUUUGGCACGGACCUGCUGUUGUUGUUGUUGGGUCAACAGGAAACAGCGCUGCUUAAAAGACCCAUAUUGCCCCCUAGUUUUCACAUCAAUAGUUUGAUUUUCUCACCUACAUGUAUACGCAGACAAGGAGAGAAGUCUGAUUCGGCAAAAAAAAAAGAAAAGCAUUAUGAGCUUAGUCCGAUAAAACUGUGCAUGUAAAUACACUUGUUUCAUAAAGGCCAAAGCUGUAAGAGCAACUAAUGUAACAAUAGCUUAAGUAUGCUAAAGGAGCUAACUGCGGAGCUAAUGUGGGCGCUAACACCAUCUCUAACAGAACAAGCUGAGACAUUUUUUGUAAAGGUAUAUGCUGUGUAAAAAGUAACGCCCGAUAACACUAUGACUUUAUAUGACUGGAACAAAGAAGUAGAUGAAAAGUGCUGGAAUAAAGAUGAAAGUAAAAUUUUUUGAGCUGUAAAUUAUGCAAAAGUCUGGCGCUCCAGACUGAUGUAAUGAGAGGCGAAAAUGAGUGCAACAGGUCUCUUUCAAGGUUUAAAGUCAGGGCUGGCUCAGGCAUGACUUGGACUCAUCCUCUAAGGUAACCUACAAUACUUCCAUAGCUAUCCCCAGCCCUCCUUUUAAAGCAUUUUUUCCCUCACUGAUUUGGUGGACUUAUCUUUUAAAACAAUAUCUUGACAGUUCAGUGUCAUGAGGUAGCUUUUGUUGUAAUUUAUCAGCAUUUAAUGACAAAUUAUUGUGAGUGCAGCAACAUCAGAUUUAAACACCCGCUUGUCGGCACUGUAGGUGCUCUUUCUUCAUCUCUGACAUUCAGACAUCCCCACUUAUCCUGUCAUCACAUGGGCACAAGAGCAGACCUGUCCCUGCCCUCUAGAUUACAUCUGUAGUGUCAGGCCAAGGAGAGAUGAUGUACCUGCUUAUCAAAUAGCAGGUACUUGAUGGUGAUGGAGGCCUGUACAGGCGAAAGUUUGAAAACACCACACACACUUAGCAGCAAAUAUGAGCUUAUGAAAAACACUUAGUGCAACAGUCAGUGCUUCUGAUAAUAAUCUUUGUUUUUUAGAUACUGUUUGAGAAACCCGUUAAGCUGUAUGCACUUUAAAGCUCCUGUGAAGAACUUUUACUCUUUAAAGCUCCUGUGAGGAAUAUGCAGUUUUUGUCAAUUUUGGCGCCGGCUUUGGACAGAGCAACCUUUGCGUAUCUUGUCCUCCACUUGGCAGUGCCUCUUUACAAAAAACCUGAUCCUGCUGACUGUCAAAUGUGUCAUUCAUUGUAAAUUUCAUGUUUCUUUAUCUGCUCCACUGACACCUACCCCCUAACACCAGUUACAGGAUCAAAAAUUAGGGUAUAGAAAGGGUCAGUCUUGUUGCUGAUGGUCUUGAUUGCUUGUAAAUAUCACGAAACAGCAUCAAUAUAAAUUUCGUUUUUUUUCAUGGAUGUCAAAAAAUUCCUCAUGGGAGAUUAAGUCAUGAAAAAACACUGUACAAGCAGCAUGCAGUUUAUCACCUACCCCAACCCACAGUGAAAAGAACAAUUCAGAAAAAUUGUUCUUUGUUCUUGAUGGUCUUCUUUUGAAUUUCAAAGGUCAUGAAGAGGUGUGGAUAUCAGCAACAGUUUGUUUUGGAUCUUGAAGUAUCAGAAGACAGAUUGCUGUUUGUGAAGUUAUAUGUUCACAUAUAAUAUGAGGUAAUGAGUUACUGCUACACUGCAUCAACAGCCUCAUAUUAUUCCAUACAUUAUACAGUUAUAGCCCAUUAAAUGGAGCUACUUUUAUGCCUUUUUACUAUUUGUAAAGGCAGGUACUAUGCUCAAGUAGUCCAGAGCCUUGUUGUUGAGUCCCCUUUAUACAUUUAAGGAGCUUUGAGAUUAUUGAUAAAAUAUUUCUCAUGUUUUAUUGAUUCCUUUUUGUUUCUCUUACCUCUCUACACCACCUGAUUUAAGUGAAACCAUUUUGGAGGUUUCCUGGAGCAGUGAUUUGUUGGUGGAACAUUAAUUAAGUGAGUGUGAAACAAUUGCAGAGUGAUGAAAAAAACCGUGCACAGCCCAAAAAGUGAGAAACGGCGAACUCCAUCUAUAAAGACCAACUUAAAUACAUGUUAAAAUCUUAAAUUAUUUAAAAACCUGUGUAUACAACUCUUAUAAAUGAAUAAUUUGUGAAUAAAUUCCCUCAUGGUUACAUCAAGCGUCUAUUGAAAUCUUUUAUGCACAUAAAAGCAGAUGUGUAUGCACAUAGCCUUGGCCCUAUAUCUCUGAAGACUCUAACUGCCUUCACACUCACGCUCUGAUGGCAGAGACCACUACAGUACAAAAUCAUCAGCUUCGACGUAUUCCCUUCAUACAUAUUCACUGAUUAUGCCAUUGUGAGCAAGUUGGGGUCUUGACAAGGACAAUCUGGCGCUGACUGUGGGUGCUGGGAUAGAAACAUCAAUCCUCUGAUUGAAGAGACAACCCACUGUAUAACUGAGCCACAGCCGCCUGAUGUUCAAAGUGUCAAUAUUAAAACUGCCUGCCUGUGUGCCGUUGAAAAUUUGGAAAAGCUGUAUCUCUGUACGGGUUAUUAUAAAAAGUGAUGCUUUAUUAGUCUUGGCAAAAAACUGGAAGUUGGGCAAAAGAGGCAAGUAAUGUCUUCAUGCUUAAUGAACUGUAUUUUAGCAGUUAGCAGGUGUGUGUCUACAAUUAAUUGACUGGGGUGGCCCAACUGGAGAACCAUCUUAGAAAGGAGUGGUAUGAACAAAAAGCACUUAUCUGAUGCCUGAUAUCUGUGCGAGAGGGUAGAUGUUGGCAAAGUGGCUGGUGAAAAAAGUUUGUUUUUGCAUUUCCACACAGGUAAUUCACAAUAAAUGACAAAUUUGAGUGUCCAAGUCCACCGGGGGGCGCCCAAACUGACGUAAACUGAAAGUUCCCAACAGGAGCUUCAAAAUACAAAAUAGCCAGAAGUACCAACACAGCCUAAAUAGUUUUCCAAUUUCCAUCUCUGACAAAGCAAACAGCAUAGUUUGAAUCAUGGUAUGGCCCUAUGGGUUGACCAAUCAGAUUUCCAGGGCGGUUAUGGCGGCCCCACCCCUCUGAACAUGUCCCUGACUGUAAAAACAUACUUUCAGUAUUAGUUAACUGUAUUCGCCUGAAGUAACAUACAGAGUCGAGGGCGCUCAAACGGAGGAAUGAAGAAAUCUGUCAGCGGUUUAAUGACCUGUGAAACUCAUUAAUGGUCCCUCUGUUGUGGGUUAUGCCAGCUAUACCCUACUUGCACGAGAAUGUAAUAUGAAUAUUUUACUAUGUAAAAAUUUAAACAGCAUGGAAUAAUGCUUUUGGUCACACUUGAUGGUUAUGUUCAAUAAUUUUGAGGUGGCGAAAUAGCAACAGAAUCAUUUUCGACACCUUAUCCAUCCUCACCCAUGACAGGAAUGUGCCUUCCUGCUGGAUUUAAAAGGUGGGGCGUUUUUCUACACCAGCAUGUGCAUACCACCCUCUAAAUGCACGUUAUCUGAUAGGUACUGCACCAAUAUGAGAGGCUUGAGAGUGUAAUACAUCUUUGACAAGACAACAGAGGGUAAUUGAGCUGUCACUUCUGUGUCUCAGACGACCUCGAGGACCUCAAUAAUCUUGGGCGGGGUUCAGUGAACAUCCUUGAGGAGAGCACCGUGUGUUGUAUCUAUUAUACAGCUGUUUAUAAAGAGAUAUAAUGAUUAGUGAAGCUGCAAGCAUGAUGGAUAGUUGCAGGUUUCUCAAAAUGCAAAUACUUCACCAGAAAGCAUCAAUUACUCAAUGCAAAAAUGAGUGUACUGCAUACAAGAGUGACUAACAGGCUGCACUGUAUUUACCACUGACACAAGAUAAAGUCAUAUUUAAAUGCAUGAGUCAAUAUACAUUGUAUAAAGGCUGCAUUCUUGAUAAAUUGCCCUCUUUUCAAUGUGUAAAGUGGUCUAUGUAUAACUGCCACAGAGCAAUAAAUAAAGUCUUAGUGAUAAAGCACAAGUGUAAUCUAACAUACUAAUUCCUUACUUUAGCGCCUGUUUUUCACCAUUAAUAAUAUCAUUAUAAUUACAUCCUUUAUGUGAGCUCCAGAUCUAUUUUUCAUGAGUACCUUAUAUUUUAAUUGCCUCUCAAAUCACCAUUUAUCAGAUGUAUCUCACAUAUGCAGUAUUUUGCACAGGUCUAUAAUCAAGUGCAUUGUGAAUAGUUCCAGCUCGCCUCAUUUGUAUGCAGUGUUGUACCAGCAGAGACGCUCAGAUAUGAAAAAUGAAUGUCCUUGAGUAUCUACUCAGCUAUACAUUCUGCAGCAGGGUUGUUUGAUUGAUCCUGAUGGAGCCCAAUUAUUUUUCUCAUCUAAAGUACGAAGCUCUGGAACAAAUGUCAAUACAUUUUCUGUCCCAAAAAGAGUGUUUUAAAAGACAUCUACAGACACCGGGGUGACAACUAGCAGUUUGGCUGGUGUGGACUUGGACUGCAACAGGUGCAGGCUGCUCAGAAACGUGGGGGAUGAAGCGAUCGUUGGUGCAACACUGCUCUCUAGUGGCGAAUAAGAGUUUUAGUUUUUCUAUCAAAUGUGUCCCAAAACACAAACUAAACAAUCAUAUUAGUAUUUUAAUCACUUUUGACAGCGCUAACCAUCUGCUGUGUUCCGACUGGCUGCAAUAACGUAAAUUCCAAACAGGACUUCAACGGAUAUUGGAGAUGAGGACUACAUCUGCAUGACUAACAGGACCAGCUGAGAGCAGAAACCCAUCAUAACCGGGUCAAAUUCAUCCACUUAAAAAUGUUUUUGAAAAACGCUGUGGCUCCU
RNAcentral lists this long non-coding RNA (11288 nucleotides) under Xyrichtys novacula (pearly razorfish). Lineage: Eukaryota; Metazoa; Chordata; Actinopteri; Labriformes; Labridae. The record is from RNAcentral.